RNAcentral lists this ribosomal RNA (930 nucleotides) under Streptococcus salivarius. Its description in RNAcentral is "bacterial SSU rRNA". It matches the Rfam family "Bacterial small subunit ribosomal RNA", at positions 45 to 959 of the family's 1533-position model. The record is from RNAcentral. Lineage: Bacteria; Bacillati; Bacillota; Bacilli; Lactobacillales; Streptococcaceae.
UGCUAUACAUGCAAGUAGAACGCUGAAGAGAGGAGCUUGCUCUUCUUGGAUGAGUUGCGAACGGGUGAGUAACGCGUAGGUAACCUGCCUUGUAGCGGGGGAUAACUAUUGGAAACGAUAGCUAAUACCGCAUAACAAUGGAUGACACAUGUCAUUUAUUUGAAAGGGGCAAUUGCUCCACUACAAGAUGGACCUGCGUUGUAUUAGCUAGUAGGUGAGGUAACGGCUCACCUAGGCGACGAUACAUAGCCGACCUGAGAGGGUGAUCGGCCACACUGGGACUGAGACACGGCCCAGACUCCUACGGGAGGCAGCAGUAGGGAAUCUUCGGCAAUGGGGGCAACCCUGACCGAGCAACGCCGCGUGAGUGAAGAAGGUUUUCGGAUCGUAAAGCUCUGUUGUAAGUCAAGAACGAGUGUGAGAGUGGAAAGUUCACACUGUGACGGUAGCUUACCAGAAAGGGACGGCUAACUACGUGCCAGCAGCCGCGGUAAUACGUAGGUCCCGAGCGUUGUCCGGAUUUAUUGGGCGUAAAGCGAGCGCAGGCGGUUUGAUAAGUCUGAAGUUAAAGGCUGUGGCUCAACCAUAGUUCGCUUUGGAAACUGUCAAACUUGAGUGCAGAAGGGGAGAGUGGAAUUCCAUGUGUAGCGGUGAAAUGCGUAGAUAUAUGGAGGAACACCGGUGGCGAAAGCGGCUCUCUGGUCUGUAACUGACGCUGAGGCUCGAAAGCGUGGGGAGCGAACAGGAUUAGAUACCCUGGUAGUCCACGCCGUAAACGAUGAGUGCUAGGUGUUGGAUCCUUUCCGGGAUUCAGUGCCGCAGCUAACGCAUUAAGCACUCCGCCUGGGGAGUACGACCGCAAGGUUGAAACUCAAAGGAAUUGACGGGGGCCCGCACAAGCGUGGGAGCAUGUGGUUUAAUUCGAAGCAA